Amaranthus tricolor (Joseph's coat) is the source of this 2692-nucleotide long non-coding RNA. RefSeq lists it as uncharacterized. Lineage: Eukaryota; Viridiplantae; Streptophyta; Magnoliopsida; Caryophyllales; Amaranthaceae. The transcript is spliced from 6 exons. The record is from RefSeq and is a predicted model, not a curated record.
AUUAAGGGCCCGGCGCCUGCAGGAAUAUCCUAUCCCUAACUGUAUGUUGCUGCAGCAAGAGAUCAACGCCACAAUCAUCACCUUCAAAAACUGAUAAUUGCCUUUGAACCCAGAAACUGAUCGCGGAAUCAUCACCGUACCCGUACGUCUCCUUCAUUCUUCCCUUUCAAUUCAACGUCACUGGCCGUAAUCAACCCAGUCGACCGGCCGUCUGCGUCAGCCAAUUGACAGUUGGUGAUCUUCCCGCCGCUGGUUCUUCCUCGUCAUUCCCAUAAAAUCUGUGGUAAGUAAAUUUCUGUCUUUAGUCUCCAAUGUUAUCAAAAUCGCGAUUCGGAUUUUAAAAUCAUACGAUCCUAAAUUAACCUAUCGAGUUGAAUCGCUAAUAAAAUCGAAAUCUGAUAAAAUGGCCUAUAAAAUCGCUGGAAUCGGUUAAACUCGGUGGAAUUGCGAGUUUGACCCGAUUUUACUGAUUCCAGCAUAAGGGUUUUUAUUACACUAAAAAAUAGGCCAUGACAGCAUACAAAAAGCCCUAAGCCUACUGUUCACGCAGUUUCCCAAUUGUUAUCGUUGUUUUCCUAUUAUUUUAUGAGUUUACCGCCAUUGUUCAGCUUCUUUAUUCAAACCUCUGCCAUUUCGUUGCUUUUUUUCUUCUCCAUUUUCGAUCAUUUUUCACCGCCAUUUCUUUUGUGAAUGUAAGUGAUUUUUCUUUCAUAUCUUUUUUUAAUUUUGUUUGUAGAACUGAUUUUUUACAUUUUUAUUGUUUUGUAAUUGUAUUUUUGAUUUCAUUUUGAUUUUGAUUAUCACAUGAUUUCGUUUUGAAAUGUUAUUUUUUUUAUUUCAUUAAUUUUUAUCAAUGUCGAUGUUUUUAAAGUUUUUUCUUUAAGAGAAAGUUUCAUGGCGAGUCACCAAAGCAAUAAAAAACGACUCUCAAAGCUAGUCCUACAAGGGAGAGUUCCACCACAAGGUCAAACGCAAUGUGAGGUUCAAGUGAGAGAGAAACAAAGUAUCGAAACAAAGACGGGUCAAGGUAAAUCAAUGGUUUCUCCCGGCUCAAUUAGUGCUUAUAUGCAAAUGAAAGCAAGAAUGAGAAAGAAAUAACUUAGAGAAAAACAUAAUGGUGGAUCACAACAGCAAUCUAUUGUGCAAAAAUCGCAUCAAGGUGGUUCAACAAAAUCACUUGAAAGUCACUUACAACAGAAGCAAUUUGACAAUGAUUUUGAAACAGAUUAUGAUUACAUUAUGGAUUUAAAUGAAUGUGAUAGAGAUGACAUGGAUGGAGAAGAUGUCGAAUUUGAUUAUAAUAGUCACCUAUUGGACAUGCGAGACGGAUCAUUAAUAAACCAAGAAAUAGAAAAUGAGCAAAGUGAGGGUAGAAGACUAUUCUUUGUCAUCGUAUUAAAGCUUUUAUAUUUAUAUGUUGUUUCUUUAGUCAUAUUGUUUUAUAAUCUUUGUAUGUUGUUGUGUAGCACCUUUAAGAGAGAAGCGAACUAGAGGACCAACAAUGUGCACAGAUGUGCAUGAAUGGACAAUAGAUGAUCGUAAGCCUAUCAUUCUUAAUGAAGGAAGCCUAUUGGUCCUGAUGAUCAUACGGUGAUAAGUUUACACGGUUUUUAGAGACUUUAGCGCGUAAUUCUGCUUUUGCACCAUUAAACAAGCUUAAUUGGCAUCGUGUUGAAAACAAGGACAAUAUUUGGAGUUAUGUAAAGGUAAAGAUUCCGUGUUGCAAUUAGUUGGAAUGCUUUGGCGAAGAGAUAAAUGCUUUAAUUCUCAAUGCAUACACUAACGAUGAUGAUAGGUUGGCAAAUGCAUCUGAUUCAAUUCCAGAAGCACAUUUUAAGGAUUUAAUUGAUUAUUGGAAUUUGGAUGAAAUCCAGGAACAAAGUCGAAGAAAGAAGGAAAGUGGUAUGAAUCAGAUUGAUAGGCACACUAUGGGUCCAAAGAGCUUUGCAAGAAAGGAAUAUGAAUCGCAACAAAUGGAUGAAGAAAAUAAGUCACCGUCUCAGGCUCUUAUGUACAAAGAAACUAGAAAAAGAAAAGAAGGAAAAACCUACAAAACAUCAUACGAGCUUAUUCAAAGUAACAUUGAUAAGAUGGAGGAGGUACAACGGGAUUUAAAAGUUGAUGGAGAUAGCGCAUUUCAUGAAGUAAUGAACCCAGAAAACUUAAAUAAGAAACGACAAGAAAGAGUAAUAAAGCUACAUUAGGUGGUGUAAUAGUUCCUAAAGAAUUUUUGCAACUAUGUAAAGAUGAAAUUGUGAAGGGCAAGUGGCACAAUUGUUGAUGUUGUUUAAGCAACAUCUUCCUCCUGAAUCGUUUAACCAAGUGAUAAUAUAUAUGCUAGGACAUCAGGUUCAAGAGGGGAGAUUGGAAAAAAUCAUAUCAGUGAUGAUGAAGCUGCAUGCGAGUAAGAAGCACACAUAGAUCACAAUGAGAAAAAACAAUAAAAGAUUUAGUUUCAAACUAUAUUUUGUAGUUUAGUUGUAUAAUCAAGUUCUUACGAACAUAUAUAAAUUUAUUUUGUAUAUUUUAGUUGUAUAAUCUAGUUCUUACGAACAUAUAUAGAUAUAUUUUGUAUAUUUUAGUUGUAUAAUCAAGUUCUUACGAACAUAUUAUAUAUAGAUAUAUAUGAUGUAUGUAUGAAUGAUGUAGAUUAAGAUUAUACCGUUAGUGAUUGAUUUCAAUUUAUUUUGGC